ACGGAGGGUGCAAGCGUUAAUCGGAAUUACUGGGCGUAAAGCGUGCGCAGGCGGUUUGUUAAGUCUGUUGUGAAAUCCCCGAGCUCAACUUGGGAAUUGCAAUGGAUACUGGCAGGCUGGAGUACGGUAGAGGAAGGUGGAAUUCCAUGUGGAGCGGUGAAAUGCGUAGAGAUAUGGAAGAACACCAGCGGCGAAGGCGCUCUACUAGGCCAAGACUGACACUGAGAAACGAAAGCUAAGGGAGCGAAUAGGA
Molecule: ribosomal RNA, 253 nt
Filed under: uncultured prokaryote
Description: partial 16S ribosomal RNA
Rfam family: Bacterial small subunit ribosomal RNA
Source: RNAcentral